UGGGGAAUAUUGCGCAAUGGGGGGAACCCUGACGCAGCCAUGCCGCGUGAAUGAAGAAGGCCUUAGGGUUGUAAAGUUCUUUCGGUAUUGAGGAAGGUUGAUGUGUUAAUAGCACAUCAAAUUGACGUUAAAUACAGAAGAAGCANNGGCAAAACNNCGUGCCAGCAGCCGCGGUAAUACGGAGGGUGCGAGCGUUAAUCGGAAUAACUGGGCGUAAAGGGCACGCAGGCGGUUAUUUAAGUGAGGUGUGAAAGCCCCGGGCUUAACCUGGGAAUUGCAUUUCAGACUGGGUAACUAGAGUACUUUAGGGAGGGGUAGAAUUCCACGUGUAGCGGUGAAAUGCGUAGAGAUGUGGAGGAAUACCGAAGGCGAAGGCAGCCCCUUGGGAAUGUACUGACGCUCAUGUGCGAAAGCGUGGGGAGCAAACAGGAUUAGAUACCCUGGUAGUCCACGCUGUAAACGCUGUCGAUUUGGGGGUUGGGGUUUAACUCUGGCGCCCGUAGCUAACGUGAUAAAUCGACCGCCUGGGGAGUACGGCCGCAAGGUUA
This 548-nucleotide ribosomal RNA is filed under the name uncultured bacterium. Its description in RNAcentral is "bacterial SSU rRNA". It matches the Rfam family "Bacterial small subunit ribosomal RNA", at positions 355 to 896 of the family's 1533-position model. The record is from RNAcentral.